Syngnathus acus (greater pipefish) is the source of this 1914-nucleotide long non-coding RNA. RefSeq lists it as uncharacterized. The transcript is spliced from 4 exons. Lineage: Eukaryota; Metazoa; Chordata; Actinopteri; Syngnathiformes; Syngnathidae. The record is from RefSeq and is a predicted model, not a curated record.
AAGAAUCAAAUCAGACCUGUGGCAUUUAAACUAGUGCAGUGCAGUCCAAUUGCCUGCGGGGACUUUUUAGCCUCUCAACCUGACAUUUAGAGCAACCGAGAACUUAUCAUUAACUGCUCUGAAAUGUCAGCGAGGCACAAUUUGUCCACAUCAGUUAACCCGACCAAUUAUACGAAAUAUAUUUAGAAUUCACCAUAUAAGCGUCAACGCGCUGAUUCUUUUUGAAAUACAACCUACAAGGUUGUUUUCUGUGCUCUUUCGACGACAGCGAGUGGAAAUUAGAGUGUGCGUGCAUCUGCGCGUGUCAGCUCGUUCAGAUCGUUCAUUGAUUGCCGUGUCACAGACAGCUGAAGGUCACAAUCGCAGCGGGAACCAAGUGGGUCGCCAUCGAUCGGUCGAGCGAGGCCGCGGCCGGCCGGACACUACUUUCUAAAUGUGACGAGAACAUUCCAAUGCAGAAUGCAGCUUGGAGGAGCGAUACAUGCACAAGCCAUAGCGGGGAGUUUUCUUUAGCUUGGAACCUAUAAAGAAAGCUCCUACUCCAGCCACCACAAUGCACACGCCUUCAUUGAAGCAGAAAUUGGGUUCCACGUCGCACUGAGACACGCACAUGCCGGGUCCCGAACGCACGAAGCCCAGCCGGCACCCGUCGCUCCCCAUGGCGCCACCCAAGCUCAAGUCCUUGUUCUCGUCAGGAUCCGGUUUGGGCUGGCUAGGUGAACCUGGUGCCUUGCAUCAACCAAUCAGUUCUCUCAACCAGGUGACCUGCCAAGGUGUAGUUUGUUAGUUUGACAGGUGCUUGUAUAUAAGCAUGCUACUUUCGCUCUGUUCUUCUUAUUUCUUUGUGUAUACUGCCACAUAUCAUGUUUUUUUGUUUUGACUUUUAUCCUACUGUCCAUUUGUAUCUUUAAGUGUUGCGUUUGAACUUUAGUUUACUAGUUGCCAGUGUCAUCUUUUUUUUUUUUUUGUCACAUUCCCAAGUCAUAGAGUAUUUUGUUUGUAACUUUGAAUUUUACUUUUGGACUUUGAUUUUGUAUUUUUUUUAAAUCCAUGUACCUAGUUAAUGUUUUUUUUAAUUUUAUUAUUACUUUAAGAUUAGGGUGUUGAGUUUUAUCCCAGCAUUUGUCUGUAACUUUGAAUUUUACUUUUGGGCUUUGAUUUUGUAUUUUCUUUUUAGUUAAGGUUUUUUUUAAAAAUUAUUUUAAGAUUUAAUUCCCAUGUACCCUUUCCAACUGAGCUGUAUCAAAUCCCACCAAAUGGACAAUUCCAAUUUAAAAUGAACCAUCACUGAAUCUUCCCACACCAUCUAACUAUUCUCAUCCAUUCCUGCUGACAAAAAAUGCGUUGACGUUAAAACCUUCCGAACGUGCCUGAAGGCACGAAACCUUCGCGGUGGCCGAGGAAGCAUGAGUGUGUCUCUCACGCGCACGCACAAAUACAUGCACGCGCACACACAGUGCAGUUGCCAUGGUGAGAUGCAAAAAGGAGGAGAGAAGCAAAGAGUGCAAUAGAGGAAACAGAGAAUCCACUGUGUGCUCCUACUGCUGCUCUUGUUUUUUAAUCAAUUGGCCCGACUCAAUCUAAGUGAUGUCUGCCAACUUCAGCUCUGGAGGGAAAAAAUCAAAAGUAAUGAAAGUCUUGUUCCACCGAAACCAAUUCCAAUUGACUCAAACUAUUUCUUUUCAUGCUGGUAUUUGCCAAUCUGGUCUCAAACGUCGCCUCCUGUUAGCAGCUUGCAGUCUUAGCCAUCUAUGAGAACUAAACGGAGCAAAUUGAAUUCACUGCUUUGCUGUUGGCUUUUCUUUGAAACUGCCACUCUGUCUUCACCUUCUAUUGUCACCAUGGUAACGGGUUUGACUAGCGAUACAGCACACCGGGUCGAGGCACAAUCAAUCAAACAAACAUGGUGCAUCA